RNA transcript from Formica exsecta, 1866 nucleotides. RefSeq lists it as uncharacterized. The record is from RefSeq and is a predicted model, not a curated record. NCBI's taxonomy places the organism in Eukaryota, Metazoa, Arthropoda, Insecta, Hymenoptera, Formicidae. The transcript has 4 exons.
AUGCUUCGCAUUGCACAAAUCUCACAACAUUUCAGAGUAUAGAAUUUGAAACUGGUGCGCCGGGCCCCAGUAGAGGGUCUACGCGCCUUCCGUCGUUAUAUUGUUUUGUUGUGCAAAAUUUUGAUUACGUUUCGAGUAUAGCUCUCAAGUUAAAAACCGAAUUUUCGACAACAAGGGUACUAAUAGAAAUGCCGCAUGAGAGGAAAAGGAAGCGUACUCGAUCUCGAUCAAGGGAUCGUAGAAGAAGUAGGGACGAGACGAAAGAAAAGCUGGAAAACCUCCAGACUCAGCUGAAUAACCUCACUAGCAUACUCGGUCAAUUGACCCAACGCCCUGAUAUUACUGAAAACAAAGAAAUCCUGGAUAGUCAAACUGUUUCCUCAGUAGAGCAGAUUCCAUCUGAGCACAUAGAAAAUUCAUCUGUUGAUGAGAUAACUGAUGAGUCGGUCAUUCCCGAGGAUAUAUUGGAUUUAUUGGGGGACGAUCCCAAUGCAAAUAAAGAAUUGACAAUCAAGUUCCAUCCAGAGCUCAAACGCAGAUGGGAGAAAUGGAUGCAGGAAGGUUUUCCGGAGGAAAACAAGAAAGCUAUCCUACAAAAGUAUCCAAGGAAACAAGAAUUAUAUUCUGAGGCUCCCAAGGUUAAUUUGGAAAUCGUUCCAAUUUUGUCCGAGAUUACUAUUAAAAGAGACCAUCAUUUUCUUGAGACACAAAACUGUGUAGAUUCUGCAAUAUCAGCUCUGGCUGCUGCAGUUUCAUUAAUUCUCGAUGAUCCCGAUGACGGCAUUGAUCAGGGAAUGCUCACAAAAUAUCUUUGUGAUGCUGGAAAGUUAUUGUCUGACGUUUUUUAUCAGCAAUCUGUGGCCAGAAAAUCUUUUAUCACUCCUUUGCUAAAUAAGGGCGUUAAACCCACAAUUGAGGCUACUACAUCGGAUGAAUGGCUGUAUGGAAACAAAUUUGCCGAACAGGUUAAAGAAGUUCAGGCAAUCGGAAAGGCGUGUGCAAAAAUCAGAGCCCAAGAUAAACCAAAAGUAUCGACAUAUAAAUCACGAAAUCAGGGAAACUUGAAAUACCCACCUGCCAGGUACAGGCAGGUGGGGACGUAUCCGAGACGAUCAACAAUCAAAUUCAAGCCACGGAGCCAAAGAACAAGCCAAGGUGCAUCAAAACCCUCGAGUCGAACGUCAAGCCAAUCGACGUCGACGAAGAAGUAAAGGAGGAUAUAAGAUUCCUUUCAGAGAAACUCCUCGCCAAGACAAAUCAUCUAAGGAUUUUGUCUGGUCAGAAUCAGAUCAGACGAUGGUCACACCCGCUGGCGUCAAAACUUUCAUUGGUGGUAGGGAACUUAUCCGGAUGGCGUUCCUGAAGAAAGGAAUCAAUGAAGACUCAGUGGAUAUUAUGAUUAACUCCAUAACAGUUUCGACACUCAAACAAUAUCAAGCUCAUCUAAAAUUAUGGUGGGACUUUGCAUCGGUAAACAGCAUUAAUAUGUUUCAAGCAGAUACGCCCGCGAUUAUAAGUUUUUUAACAAAAAGAUUCAAAGAAGGCGCUAGCUAUGGUACACUAAAUUCAACAAGAUCGGCUAUCUCUCUUAUCUCCUUACGUGAUAUCUCUAGUGAUGUUCUAAUAUCACGGUUUUUUAAAGGGAUUUUCAAACAAAAACCUACAAAACCCAAGUACUCUAGCAUCUGGGACACUGCACCGGUACUUAACUAUUUAGAAAAUAUUAAUCCUUUGAACCAAUUUAAGGCCAAAGAAGUAGCAGAAAAGACUGCGACACUUUUAGCAUUAGCUACCGCACAUAGACUUCAAACAUUAGCUUUAAUAAAGACAGAUAAUAUUUUGAUUUCAAGUACUGGUAUUACUAUU